ACACAUGCAAGUCGAGGGGCAGCAUUUUAGUUUGCUUGCAAACUGAAGAUGGCGACCGGCGCACGGGUGAGUAACACGUAUCCAACCUACCGAUAACUCCGGAAUAGCCUUUCGAAAGAAAGAUUAAUACCGGAUAGCAUACGAAUAUCGCAUGAUAUUUUUAUUAAAGAAUUUCGGUUAUCAAUGGGGAUGCGUUCCAUUAGUUUGUUGGCGGGGUAACGGCCCACCAAGACUACGAUGGAUAGGGGUUCUGAGAGGAAGGUCCCCCACAUUGGAACUGAGACACGGUCCAAACUCCUACGGGAGGCAGCAGUGAGGAAUAUUGGUCAAUGGGCGAGAGCCUGAACCAGCCAAGUAGCGUGAAGGAUGAAGGCUCUAUGGGUCGUAAACUUCUUUUAUAUGGGAAUAAAGUUUUCCACGUGUGGAAUUUUGUAUGUACCAUAUGAAUAAGGAUCGGCUAACUCCGUGCCAGCAGCCGCGGUAAUACGGAGGAUCCGAGCGUUAUCCGGAUUUAUUGGGUUUAAAGGGAGCGUAGGUGGAUUGUUAAGUCAGUUGUGAAAGUUUGCGGCUCAACCGUAAAAUUGCAGUUGAAACUGGCAGUCUUGAGUACAGUAGAGGUGGGCGGAAUUCGUGGUGUAGCGGUGAAAUGCUUAGAUAUCACGAAGAACUCCGAUUGCGAAGGCAGCUCA
This 689-nucleotide ribosomal RNA is filed under the name uncultured Bacteroidales bacterium. RNAcentral describes it as "bacterial SSU rRNA". It matches the Rfam family "Bacterial small subunit ribosomal RNA", at positions 51 to 728 of the family's 1533-position model. Lineage: Bacteria; Pseudomonadati; Bacteroidota; Bacteroidia; Bacteroidales. The record is from RNAcentral.